GAUGAACGCUGGCGGCGUGCCUAAUACAUGCAAGUCGAGCGAACAGACGAGGAGCUUGCUCCUCUGACGUUAGCGGCGGACGGGUGAGUAACACGUGGAUAACCUACCUAUAAGACUGGGAUAACUUCGGGAAACCGGAGCUAAUACCGGAUAAUAUAUUGAACCGCAUGGUUCAAUAGUGAAAGACGGUUUUGCUGUCACUUAUAGAUGGAUCCGCGCCGCAUUAGCUAGUUGGUAAGGUAACGGCUUACCAAGGCAACGAUGCGUAGCCGACCUGAGAGGGUGAUCGGCCACACUGGUACUGCGACACGCUCCAGACUCCUACGGGAGGCCGCAGUAGGGAAUCUUCCGCAAUGGGCGAAUGCCUGACGGAGCCACGCCGCGUGAGUCAUGAAGGUCUUCGGAUCGUAAAACUCUGUUAUUAGGGAAGAACAAAUGUGUAAGUAACUAUGCACGUCUUGACGGUACCUAAUCAGAGAGCCACGGCUAACUUCGUG
RNAcentral lists this ribosomal RNA (497 nucleotides) under uncultured bacterium. RNAcentral's name for it is "partial 16S ribosomal RNA". It matches the Rfam family "Bacterial small subunit ribosomal RNA", at positions 28 to 507 of the family's 1533-position model. The record is from RNAcentral.